GACGAACGCUGGCGGCGUGCUUAACACAUGCAAGUCGAACGCUGAAGCCCUUUCGGGGGUGGAUGAGUGGCGAACGGGUGAGUAACACGUGGGUAAUCUGCCCUGCACUCUGGGAUAAGCCUUGGAAACGGGGUCUAAUACCGGAUAGGACACAUCGCCGCAUGGUGUGUGUGUGGAAAGUUCCGGCGGUGCAGGUUGAGCCCGCGGCCUAUCCGCUUGUUGGUGGGGUGAUGGCCUACCAAGGCGACGACGGGUAGCCGGCCUGAGAGGGUGACCGGCCACACUGGGACUGGGACACGGCCCAGACUCCUACGGGAGGCAGCAGUGGGGAAUCUUGCGCAAUGGGCGAAAGCCUGACGCAGCAACGCCGCGUGGGGGAUGACGGCCUUCGGGUUGUAAACCUCUUUCGACCGGGACGAAGGGUGACUGACGGUACCGGUAGAAGAAGCACCGGCUAACUACGUGCCAGCAGCCGCCGCUG
Molecule: ribosomal RNA, 481 nt
Filed under: uncultured bacterium
Lineage: Bacteria
Description: partial 16S ribosomal RNA
Rfam family: Bacterial small subunit ribosomal RNA
Source: RNAcentral